Camelus dromedarius (Arabian camel) is the source of this 6112-nucleotide long non-coding RNA. RefSeq lists it as uncharacterized. NCBI's taxonomy places the organism in Eukaryota, Metazoa, Chordata, Mammalia, Artiodactyla, Camelidae. The record is from RefSeq and is a predicted model, not a curated record. The transcript has 2 exons.
UGGUGCUGUUUCUCUGGAGAACUGUAACUAAUGCACCCAGUCUAUCCAAAAAAGUGUAGUUGAGGUUGAAAAUACUGAUAAUGAGGAAAAGGAUGUCAGUGCCCUUCAGCCAGAGGCCACCAGGAACACACGUGUGGUUGGCCUGCAUUACUUUGAGGGAGAAUGUACACCAUGGGGAACCGUGGAGUGUCUCUGUAAGAGGAUGUUGGGAAGAACCUAUUAUAGGGAACUAUAUUCAAUAUCUUGUAAUAAUCCAUAAUGGAAAAGAAUCUGAAGAAUUUUUACAUAUAUAUAUAAAUAAAUAAGUAUAUAUAACCGAAUCACUUUUCUGUAUACCUGAAACUAACACAACAUUGUAAAUCAACUAUAUUUCAAUUAAAAAAAAAGAGAGAGAAAGAACCUAUUAUAGAUUUUGGGCUUUGGGGUGAUGGAGAAGAAUCCAAGAAAGCAGGGGUUUAUCCUGGCUUGCGCACAAAAAAAAUGAGGACAGAAAGUGAGACGAUUCUAUGAUUAUCUCAACAAGUGUCUUACCUCUGGGGAGGGCUGUCUAGAGCAGGGAUAAAUCUGGAAUUGGUAAAGAAGCAGCAGUCACUCAUAUUAGCCAAGAGAGGGAGUGUUUGGAAUUCUGGGGGUGGCACAGUGACUUUGUUUUUCCCUGUUCUUGGACAAAGUUAUGAAGUGUCCCUGUUUUGUCUCACUUUGUCGUGGUCUCCGGGUGGCCUUUUCUGAUGUUGGUGUUCUGUGAGAUUGUUUAGGUCAUUUCCACUCCCCUAGUUCUCCCCCCGAACUGCACCCCUGGCCUGUCCCUCCACCCAGAAGAGAGCUGAAAGCUGAUCUAGGGGAGGCGGGGGGGGGGGCUGAGUCUCACUUGUGCAGAUGCGGGGGCCCUGGGAUCUUCUGAAGGGAGUAGCCCCUUGUCUAUCACAAGCUUUUCAAGUUCCCUUUGCAACUCCCUUUUAAAAAUCUCUCCUAUUCUGUAUUACCAAAAACCAAGCACGUCACGUAAUUCACAAAUUCAAUCCUUAAACCAACCCUAGAUUAUAAGUAUAGUAUUGUUUUCAUUUCGAUGAUGGGGUCACCACGGUACACACAGAGUCAACAACAAUAACAACAACAAAGCAAACCCAAUAACAAAGAGCCACCGUCUGCUCACCACUGAAAAGUCCCUCUCGUGCUUGAUCAUGUGGCCCAAUGUGUAUCCAUAUCUUACGGCAGAUUCGGAGGACUCCCUUUCCAGUCUGCAUACCAUUUCCGGAGUAAACUGCCAUUUGGCCGCGGAUCAAAACCCUGCCCUGCUCCCUACUGCCUAGAGAGUUAAGCCCAAAUGCAUUGCAUCAAGACUCUGGCCAGUUUUGAGUCCCUGCCUCGACUCCAUUGGUGUCCUUAGCCCUCCUUUUCCCCUAAGUGAGCUCUCUGCUGUGGCCACAGCCGCACUUUCAUUGCCUCCUGAACCCGUCAGAUGCAUUUCCACAUCCGUGCCACUCCCUCCAGCUGGACUAUUACCCUGCCUCCAUCCAGUCUCAGUCCCAUCUCUCCUUCUCAACUCAGGUCUGACUUCUUCUUUGUAGCUUCCCUGGCAGGUAUCCUGUGCUAUUUCAUAUUCUUAUGUAUGUUUUUAUGUAUCACCCUUGUUAUCCCAAUAGGACCAGUGGUGGAUUGUUUGCAAAACAACCACAAUAAUUUGUCCCCUGCCUAGAUGUGUGUCCCUCUGCAGCAUGACUUUCCUUGGCCACUUCUGCCUUCAAGAGGCAGAGUCUAUAUCUUGACUCUUUCAAAUCUGAGUUUGAUCCUAAAUGUGACUUGUUCUGGCCAGUGGAAUGUUAGAAAAUCCUGAGACCCUAUAAGGAGCCUGGGUUAGCCAGAGAAGGAUGAGAAAACACAAGGAGCAGAGAUGGAUCAUCCCAGCUGACCAACCAAAGACGAGCUGUCCUAAACCAAACAGCUUGCCAGCUGCCAAGUGUUUGAGAGAAGCCAUCCUAACUCAUCCAACACCAGUUAAGCUGUCCUGGACAGAAAAGCCAUCCCAGCCAACCCAAGGAAUUGUCAACAAACAAAAGAUGUUUGUUUUUACAUGCCAGUAUAUUUUGGGAUGGUUUGUUAUGCAGCAAAAGCUAAUGAACACAAGAUUCUAAGCUCCAUCAGAUGUUGAGGUAUGACCCACCUUACCUGAAUCCUCGGAAUCCAGUCUUGCAGAUGAUAGCUGGUCCUCAGUAAAAGUUUGUUUUUGACGAUAAAAAUGCCAGUAAAGAAUGAUGAAAGCUGGAGUUUGAAGGAGGCCAGGCCUAGCCUUCAGAGAGGAUGGAGAUCUGAGAGUAACUGGGAAAGCUGUUUCAUGCUUGAAACAUGGACUAAGCCAACCGGAUGAUAUCAGAGUUUCAGAUGUAAUGCAACUCUGUGUAGCUGGGUCCUGGGUGCCAUGUGCUCCACCGUCAACACCUCGGACUGCGGUCAAGGACAAAAGACUGCCUGGAUUCUCCGAAGGCUCAGUGACAUCCUGCCUGACGGCCAAGGGCCUGAUCAUGGCUCCCAGGUGGACUAUCGUGAUAAUAUACCCCACCGUGGAUUAUUGGGCACUGAGUGCUUUUUCGUUAAGUGCUCACAGUUUUAAACCCUAUUGUUUCUCAGUGACCUCAUUAGAUAGGAACCACUGAUAUUUCUCUUUCACAGAUGAGAAAUUGGAAGCACUAAGAAGUUAAGUAACUUGCCCAAGGUCACAUAGCUAAGGAGGAACAGACCUGGAGCUUGACCUCGGUGUUUUUGUUCUCAUCUUUCAUAAAGCUCACACCACUUUAGGCCCGGCCUGUUGAUAGCCCUAGGGAGACUGGUCUCCCUUCUUCCCCCCUGUUCCAGAGCUUCAGUGUCCUCGCAGCCCAGCACUUACUUGGGUGGUAACUGGCCUCCUGCUGUUUUCACUCUUAGAGGAUUGGAAAUCCUUCUGACACAACGCUUUACUUCUUGUUUGGUUUAUCUUUCCUAAAGCUCAAAGCAAGUAAGAGAGCCUGACCUGUUCCCUUCAGGCAGCUUCUGAAUGAGAGACUUCCAGAACUGUCAGCCAACACUCAGCUGACAGCAGCCCAGCUCCAGGCUGCAGGUGACUCAGGGAGAAUCUGGGAGGCUCACUGGCGCUCCUGUCCCAGUGCCUGGCAGUAGUCACUGCUGGCUGAGUGAGGGAGUUCCUGCAUCCAAGACCUGGGGAACGACCUCACCUGCCAGGCCAAUACCAGUCUUUUCUACUUUUAGUUACAGAAUAUUUUUAAAAAGAAGAAGAGAAAAACCUGGAGAGAGGUGAUCUCCAGCCCCUCCCCUUCCUUUAUUCCUCCCUCUGGGACCACCUCCCUCCCUCUCCCUUUCAGCCCACCGCUUUCCUUCUCCUUUCUUCCCCCCCACCCCAAGAUCUCCUCUCCCUCUAGUGGAGUCCAGCCUAUGGUAACUUCCCCCUAAUUCAGAUUGGUUUUCCUGUGUUACCAUGGCAACCCGCUGCUCCCAAGGAUUUUCAGCAGUCACUUUGCCCCUCUGUUUUUCAUAGGAAAUCUUUUUUCUACGUCUUGUCCUUCCCAACUCACCACUGCCAGUUUGAGCAAAACUCCAGCCCCAGGCUCUCCAAUAUUUUUAAGCAGCCAUAUCUCUUUUAUAUGAACUAAGUUGAUGUAUUUUGAAUAAUUUUAGAUGCGAUAUCAGUCAAUUUGGUUAAUUCCGAAUACAUCAGUACCGUUUUCUCCUUGGAGUGUAACCUGGCUUACUUAGUGAGGGGUGGACAAGUUGAAUUUGUACUUAUGCAGAGGCGUUGAUAGGAGCUGACUUGUGCAUACUGAGCAGGGAAGUGGUUCAAAUGCGACCAUUGGUGCCCCAGAGGGAAGGAGGGAGCAAACCAGGAGCCUGCCCCAAGAAAAUUGUCCAGUCCACAAAAAUACCCAGAACUCAGCAUCCUCUCCAAGCCCUUGCUGAGCAAAAGGUCCCAAAUGUGGUGCAAAGAAAAGAAUAUGCCCUCUGAAUAUAGGCAAAAUUGAGUGUUAUUCUCAACUCUGUUAAUGAACUAGCUGUGCUGUGUGAGCUUGGGCAGGUUCCUUACCCUCUCUGAAUCUCAGUAGUCUUUCAAAGUUAUUGGGAGAAACAAAUGGGCUAAUGCACGUUAAAGGGCCUAAAGUAGUUCUCGGCACACACUCAGUAGAAAGUAACUGCUGUAUUCCAGUUACUAGCAUGAGCCCUAGCACGAGCAUGAGUCCUCUGAGGCAGCAUCGAGGUUCAAAGCUGAGCACCAGAGGCAGAUACCAAGGUUACCACAUAAUCAGACUGCGCAGCUGGUAACCCAACCAGGUUCAUGGUCUGAACACCCCAAGGUUCAGGAUGGAAGUGGUCAUGAGAAGCUAAGGCGCCAAGACUCAUCAGAUGCUGUUACAGGAGCAACGUCCUUGAGUUGUCAGGAGGGGAAACUGACCCAGCAAAGGAACCGGACACUGCCAGCGUUCAGCAUCCUUUCCCCUUCUCCUUGUGUGUCAGGCAGGCCGGGAACUGGGAGCGGAACAGUGAAAGGGAGAGAAAAGCCAGGUCCCUGCUCAGCCCAGAAAAGAAGGCUGAGCACACACGAAAGGGGCCAUUUGACCUGAGCUAGUUCAACAGGACCCUUGAAUGUGGGGUUGGUUCCAAGCCCUGAACCUUCAACUUGAAAAAUACGUCGUGCAGAAGAUUCUUAAAUGAGUGCAUAACAGGAUGGACUGAAAUAAAAUGCUCAACCUAAAAGUUGAAAGUUAUAUUUUAUUCGGCAGAUUGUGUUAGGACGCAGCCCAGGACAUAGCAUCUCGGAUCACUCUACGAGGCUGUUCCAAAGCAGCAAGGUAGAAGCCAGGAUAAGUGAGUUUUUGCAACAAAGACCAGGUAGUUGGAACAUCAAAAGAUUACUGUUAAAGAAAACUAGAUAUCUCAAGUUAAGGGAUUUAGCGCUUUUUUAUGUCUGAGAAGGUGCAAAGGUCUGGAUUCAUUGAAAUCAUUCCUUUGAUAUGCAUCUAGCUCUCUAGGGUGGUGUCCUGUUCUGCUACAUCCCAAGUCCCCUCAGGGGGCACCGCUGGGGGUGGCUGCAGAGGCCGGGCUGCCUGCUUGUCUGCAUCCUGAGUUCCCUCUGCUCACUGUUGGGGGUGGAGGUAGCGGCUGAUGACUUGAUGGCCACAGCAUCCUUUGUUUACUGACACAGCUGCCAAUACUUUUCAUUCACGCUGGUGAGAAAUUUCUUGAUGUUGAUAACCACAAGGGCCAUGUUAACAGUGCUGUACCUACUAAGAGAUUAGAAUCUUCAAAAGCAACUGCUACCCCCUUCUAGGAUAUAGAAGAAAGGCUGGGAGAAGAUCGAGUAAGAUUAGUGGACCCUUAUUUGGAAGCUGUUUCCCAGGCAGAGGUAGCAGGCAGUGGGGCAGAGAAUCUGUUAGAAGGUGAUAGGCUGAUAUUUUAGAAGAAUCUGGAGGGGAGAUACUGUGGUUAAAGCCUCUCCUGAAGGUGGAGGAAGAAGGGAAGCCAGUUGAACUUGCAGAGGAAAAGGAACGCAGGUCUCAUGGGUUGGCCAGGAACUCCUCGGGUGGGAGCUGUGUGCACGCUCUUGAACAGGACUCUGCCCAGAGGCCGUCCCAGAGGAGCGGGACAGCCCAGCAGAAGUUCUUCCUGCGGUGGACCCAGGAGCCAGCAGGGAGUCAUAAGUGGCCACCUGGAGGAAGCACCAUCUAGGACAGCAAACUGCAGCUGGGGGUAUCCUGGCAAACUCACAGAAGAGAUUUAUGAGAAGAAAACUAGCAUUUGAACGUCACACAAAGGACACCGCAGAGGACACCAAAGCCAGAUGGCAAUCGUACAGAUCUAGUAAGAACUGUUCUCUUCCCCUCGUCCUCCUCUCUCCUUGAGCCAACCCUGGAGAAGCUAGAGGCAGGACGGGGCAGUAGGGGGGAACCAGAUGGGGAGACGGAGGAGGGAAAACUGGUCGUCCACGCCUGCCCUCACCCACUGCACGUCCCUAGCCAAGUAUGGUCUUAACUGGGAGAGGAGCUUAAUCCAGGUGAAAGAUAACAUUUUUUCUUUUUUCAGCUUUAUUGAGGCAUAACUGGCAAAAAUUAUAUGCAUUUAAGGUGUACAA